AUGAACGCUGGCGGCGUGCCUAAUCCAUGCAAGUCGCGCGAACGGACGAGAAGCUUGCUUCUCUGAUGUUAGCGGCGGACGGGUGAGUAACACGUGGAUAACCUACCUAUAAGACUGGGAUAACUUCGGGAAACCGGAGCUAAUACCGGAUAAUAUUUUGAACCGCAUGGUUCAAAAGUGAAAGACGGUCUUGCUGUCACUUAUAGAUGGAUCCGCGCUGCAUUAGCUAGUUGGUAAGGUAACGGCUUACCAAGGCAACGAUGCAUAGCCGACCUGAGAGGUUGAUCGGCCACACUGGAACUGAGACACGGUCCAGACUCCUACGGGAGGCAGCAGUAGGGAAUCUUCCGCAAUGGGCGAAAGCCUGACGGAGCAACGCCGCGUGAGUGAUGAAGGUCUUCGGAUCGUAAAACUCUGUUAUUAGGGAAGAACAUAUGUGUAAGUAACUGUGCACAUCUUGACGGUACCUAAUCAGAAAGCCACGGCUAACUACGUG
This 496-nucleotide ribosomal RNA is filed under the name uncultured bacterium. RNAcentral's name for it is "partial 16S ribosomal RNA". It matches the Rfam family "Bacterial small subunit ribosomal RNA", at positions 29 to 507 of the family's 1533-position model. The record is from RNAcentral.